RNAcentral lists this ribosomal RNA (917 nucleotides) under uncultured bacterium. Its description in RNAcentral is "bacterial SSU rRNA". It matches the Rfam family "Bacterial small subunit ribosomal RNA", at positions 8 to 916 of the family's 1533-position model. The record is from RNAcentral.
AGAGUUUGAUCAUGGCUCAGAAUGAACGCUGGCGGCAUGGCUAAGACAUGCAAGUCGAACGGACUAUUUUGAAGAGUAAUCGGAUGAAUAGUUAGUGGCGAAAGGGUGAGGAAUAAAUAGGUAACGUAUCUUUGGCUUCAGGAUAGCGUCUAGGUGCUUGCACCUUUCCGAAAGGGGCAUUAAUACUGAAUAACAUCACUUACUUAACUGUUUGUGAUCAAAGAUUUAUCGGCUAUUGAGCGGCCUAUUUCCUAUCAGCUAGUUGGUGAGGUAAUGGCUCACCAAGGCGACGACGGGUAGCGGGACUGAGAGGUUGGCCCGCCACAUCGGGACUGAGACACUGCCCGGACCUCCACGGAGGGCUGCAGUAACGAAUAUUGGGCAAUGGGCGAAAGCCUGACCCAGCAAUGCCGCGUGUAGGAUGAAGCUUUUCGGAGUGUAAACUACUUUCAGGGAUUAGAAAGCUACGGUUGAUCAAUCCCAGAAGAAGUCACGGCUAACUUCGUGCCAGCAGCCGCGGUAAUACGAAGGUGGCAAGCGUUAUUCGAAAUCACUGGGCUUAAAGGGCGCGUAGGCGGACAUGUAAGUGCUUUGUGAAAUCCCCCGGCUUAACCGGGGAAUUGCUGGGCAUACUGCAUGUCUUGAGGCAAGCAGGGGUGUGUGGAACUCUUGGUGGAGCGGUGGAAUGCGUAGAUAUCAAGAGGAACGCCGAAGGUGAAGACAGCACACUGGACUUGUACUGACGCUGAGGCGCGAAAGCGUGGGGAGCAAACAGGAUUAGAUACCCUGGUAGUCCACGCCGUAAACGAUGUCUACUAGGUUGCGGAGGUUCUGACACCGUCGCAGUCGAAGCAAAAGUGUUAAGUAGACCGCCUGGGGAGUACGGUCGCAAGGCUAAAACUCAAAGGAAUUGACGG